RNAcentral lists this long non-coding RNA (585 nucleotides) under Salmo salar (Atlantic salmon). Its description in RNAcentral is "lncRNA (ENSSSAG00000117170.1)". Lineage: Eukaryota; Metazoa; Chordata; Actinopteri; Salmoniformes; Salmonidae. The record is from RNAcentral.
GGGUAUAGGGUGCGAUUUACGACACAUUCACAGACAGGACGGAAACCCCUGGGUUACAGUAACGUUUCAUUGUGUACAGGUCGGGUUCUUUUAUGGUCAUGCGACUGUGGGUUGCCAUCAGAUCUUUUCUUCUUCUCUAGUAUUUUGUGAAAGAUUUCCUGUCCACUGCCUCUGAACUGACAAGAUUACCGCAGAGAAAGAGGGAGGGGAAAAAAAGAGAGAGAGAGAGAGCGAAAGACAGAGCACGAAAGAGAGCGAAAGAGAGGAUUGUUCACAGCUUUGUGGAAGUUACCUGUGAUGCUGAUGGUUAGGCCAAGGGCCCAGGUCUGACAGAAUCUGUGCAGAAGAUAUAGGUGCUGCUGUAGGCCCUCCUUGGUUGUGGACAGAAGAACCAGAUCAUCAGCAAUGUCACGACUUCCGCCGAAGUCAGUUCCUCUCCUUGUUCGGACGGCGCUCGGCGGUCGACAUCGCCGGUCUUCUAGCCAUCGCCGAUCCACUUUUCAUUUUCCAAUGGUUUUGUCUUUGUUUCCCACACACCUGGUUUUCAUUUCCCAAUUACUGGUCAUGUAUUUAACCCUCUGUUUC